RNAcentral lists this unclassified non-coding RNA (335 nucleotides) under soil metagenome. Its description in RNAcentral is "partial contains 5.8S ribosomal RNA, internal transcribed spacer 2, and large subunit ribosomal RNA". The stretch from base 1 to 120 matches the Rfam family "5.8S ribosomal RNA", at positions 35 to 154 of the family's 154-position model. The record is from RNAcentral.
GAUGAAGAACGUAGUGAAAUGCGAUAAGUAAUGUGAAUUGCAGAAUUCAGUGAAUCAUCGAAUCUUUGAACGCACAUUGCGCCCAUUAGUAUUCUAGUGGGCAUGCCUGUUCGAGCGUCAUUUCAACCCUUAAGCCUAGCUUAGUGUUGGGAAUCUGCUGUAUUGCAGUUCCUCAAAUACAACGGCGGAUCUGUAACAUCCUCUGAGCGUAGUAAAUUUUUAUCUCGCUUUUGUUAGGUGUUGCAGCUCUCAGCCGCUAAACCCCCCAAUUUUUGUGGUUGACCUCGGAUCAGGUAGGAAUACCCGCUGAACUUAAGCAUACAAUAAGCGGAGGA